GUUGAUUUAUAUGAUCGAUUUAAUGAGCUAUUUUGAAAACAACUUCGACCGUCUAUAGUAACAAUGCAGUCCUUUUCGCCUUCAAAAUAAACGAAAACUCAAUAAUUUAAACAAAAUGAGACGAUUUUUCAUGCUGAACCCAAAUUGCAGCAAUCAAUGGAAACCACUGAACAAUAUGCGAUUAUUCUUAGAGCGGAGUUGUACAUUUUACACAAAGCAUAACCUCCUCAUGACAUGUAACAGUGUUAAACAAACUUGACAAAUCAGCUAUAAAUGGGUAGACGAAUAUAAUCGAUAUAGAACACAAGAG
This 310-nucleotide long non-coding RNA is filed under the name Mytilus galloprovincialis (Mediterranean mussel). The record is from RNAcentral. Lineage: Eukaryota; Metazoa; Mollusca; Bivalvia; Mytilida; Mytilidae.